RNAcentral lists this long non-coding RNA (508 nucleotides) under Populus trichocarpa (black cottonwood). RNAcentral's name for it is "long non-coding RNA (PTRI_LNC001433)". Lineage: Eukaryota; Viridiplantae; Streptophyta; Magnoliopsida; Malpighiales; Salicaceae. The record is from RNAcentral.
UCGAUCAUACUUCAUUUAUGGAGCAGGCAAAGGGGAAGAAGAUCUUGAGUUCAAGGUGUGUUCCUAUCACCUCAAAAAAAGAUUAAAAAAACAGAAAAGAAAAGAUGGCUAAAAAUAGAAAUGCUAUCAAGUGAAAAAAUUAACGAGCCAUUUCAUCUUGUAAGUAGCACAAAUUUUGGGAAUUCACAAGCGUGCUCUCAUGUAACAACAAGUCCUACCCGAUUUUCACUCUCUCGUCUCCCUGUCUUUGGUGUCAAUUUUGAAUAUGUCCACCCUGUGAAAAAUCAGACGAAACAUCCUCGUUAUGCGUGCAAUUAACAAGAAGAAACAUCAGUGUUCUUCAUCAUCAUCAUCUGUCAUGAAUUCUUCCUUAUCCCUGCAAAAUCAAAACCAUAUUCUCUCAUUGAUCACACAUACACCAACAUCCCAAUGAACAAAAAUGGACGAGGAUAAAGAGGAAAUACUAAUCAUUUGAUCUUCCUGUCCUGUCCGUCAAGUUUCAACACAC